Molecule: long non-coding RNA, 1308 nt
Organism: Canis lupus familiaris (dog)
Lineage: Eukaryota; Metazoa; Chordata; Mammalia; Carnivora; Canidae
Exons: 3
Source: RefSeq, a predicted model, not a curated record
UCAUGGGGAAGCCAGUGGUGUGAGCUCCAGGCUGGUCUCCUGGUGUUCCCAAUGCUGUAUUCCUCUCCACUUCUAAGGCUAGAGAGCCUGUCCCUCUGCUCAAGGAUUUUGAAGGGGCAGGGGGCACAGUGAAGAUGCUCACAAUGGCAUCUAAGAGACAGAAUUCAAGUUCACGUUUCCAUUAGGAUCCCUCCAAUUCUACCUCUGAAGCUCCUUAGAGGAGAUCAAAAGAACCCACAGAGCACUAGGCUGGUACUGGAUGAAAAACUAAUAAGGCCACACCAACUGGAACUAAGAAAACUCUAGCCGUAGCUGAAGCUGGAAGCAUGAAACUGAAAACAACAAGUUUUGUGAGCCAGCUUGAUGGCUACAGAUGCUGAGCCACAAGAAACCGAAUAGCAGAUCAAGAAGGCUGGCAGAGAAGAGGUAGUGCCAAAAUAGCACUGCCUAUGAACUGAGGGGAUUAGAGUGGCUUGGAGACCACACAAGAGAUUCAAAAAUAAACUGCAGAAAAGGACACAACAGGUUUCAAGCUAAAUUGAACAGAUUAAAACAGAGGUAGUUCCAACCUGAGCAUACUUCUUAAAGUCAGAAAUUCCCUAGGGCAUACAGAAUUUGAAGACUGACAGCUAACAGAGAUGAAGACCCUGCACAGAAGCUCUGGGCACCUCUCAUUGCCCAGCUGGAUGCCCACCAACUGUGCUAUAGCUUAGGCACUCAGUGGGAUAUUUAUAGUUGCCUUUAUAUUUACCCAGCUCUCCAUAAAAUGAGGAUUUCAAAGUCACUCAGAAUGGCAGACUGGUUCUACUGAAGACCCAUCUUGAUCCCUGUCCAACAAAGUAUAAUGACAACACCGUAUAAGACCACAGAAGACCAUGGUCUUCAAGUUCCAGGCUUAAACAUCAUUACGCUGUCCUCCCGACCAAGGGGCAGAGCUCAGGAAUGACAGACUCUAUCAGUCAAUCCUGUGGCUUUAGGUCAGUCACUAUGCUUCUCUGAACUUCACUAAUGACUCUGAUGAGAGGCUGAGUCAAUAUACUCUCCAAGAUACCUUUCACUUUAACAUUCUGUGAUCUAUCAGCCUUUUUAGUAGCUGGGAAAACAAAGUGUGAUCUACUCUGCUCUGGCACUGUGAAUCUCUAGAUUCAACUAAAGGAAGCAUUCUCUUCAACUUUGUGGCUCAUUUCCAAGUCUUGGCUACCAUCCCAAUGGAUUAACCUUCUUCAAAGAGCUAUGUAUCUGAGAAGAGGUGGGAAUCAGGGACUAUGAAAGUCGGAGGGAAUAUUCUAGUCUACUUCCUUCAAAUAA